GGAGAGAUGCCCGAGAGGCCGAAGGGGCACGCCUGGAAAGCGUGUGUGCAAUCAAAUGCACCGAGGGUUCGAAUCCCUCUCUCUCCGCCA
Molecule: transfer RNA, 90 nt
Filed under: Deltaproteobacteria bacterium
Lineage: Bacteria; Pseudomonadati; Myxococcota; Myxococcia
Description: tRNA-Ser
Rfam family: tRNA
About the family: Transfer RNA (tRNA) molecules are approximately 80 nucleotides in length. Their secondary structure includes four short double-helical elements and three loops (D, anti-codon, and T loops). Further hydrogen bonds mediate the characteristic L-shaped molecular structure. tRNAs have two regions of fundamental functional importance: the anti-codon, which is responsible for specific mRNA codon recognition, and the 3' end, to which the tRNAs corresponding amino acid is attached (by aminoacyl-tRNA synthetases). tRNAs cope with the degeneracy of the genetic code in two manners: having more than one tRNA (with a specific anti-codon) for a particular amino acid; and 'wobble' base-pairing, i.e. permitting non-standard base-pairing at the 3rd anti-codon position.
Source: RNAcentral